This is a non-coding RNA of Camelina sativa (false flax), 352 nucleotides long. NCBI's taxonomy places the organism in Eukaryota, Viridiplantae, Streptophyta, Magnoliopsida, Brassicales, Brassicaceae. The record is from RefSeq and is a predicted model, not a curated record.
AUCUAAUAGAGUGUCCUAUGCUUUUACAGUGGGAGCAGGAGGGAGGGAUCCAAGGGUACUCGACAUUAAUGGUCAAAAGGCAUCCCUUUGAGAUGGGCCCAAAUUGGAAUAGCUUCAAGGUCAGCAGUGGUCCCUCCAGACGAAUCCCACUGUGCCACUAGGAACAUGCACUCACCGAUAUACCACAGCUUCUUUUCCAGAACCUUAGUGCGGACAUAAUCAUUUGGCAGCCUUACAAGCAUAGAGUUAUUGGAGUGAUUAAGGGAUUACAAUUCGUGGCUUCCCCUCAGGAGAGUAGUUUACGGGAGCUAAUCUAGAGAGAGAACGGUCAGCUCCACGCUUAAGCUUUUGA